UAGGGAAUCUUCCGCAAUGGGCGAAAGCCUGACGGAGCAACGCCGCGUGAGUGAUGAAGGUCUUCGGAUCGUAAAACUCUGUUAUUAGGGAAGAACAAAUGUGUAAGUAACUAUGCACGUCUUGACGGUACCUAAUCAGAAAGCCACGGCUAACUACGUGCCAGCAGCCGCGGUAAUCCGUAGGUGGCAAGCGUUAUCCGGAAUUAUUGGGCGUAAAGCGCGCGUAGGCGGUUUUUUAAGUGUGAUGUGAAAGCCCACGGCUCAACCGUGGAGGGUCAUUGGAAACUGGAAAACUAGAGUGCAGAAGAGGAAAGUGGAAUUCCAUGUGUAGCGGUGAAAUGCGCAGAGAUAUGGAGGAACACCAGUGGCGAAGGCGACUUUCUGGUCUGUAACUGACGCUGAUGUGCGAAAGCGUGGGGAUCAAACAGG
RNAcentral lists this ribosomal RNA (429 nucleotides) under Actinomycetes bacterium. Its description in RNAcentral is "Actinobacteria bacterium partial 16S ribosomal RNA". It matches the Rfam family "Bacterial small subunit ribosomal RNA", at positions 355 to 776 of the family's 1533-position model. The record is from RNAcentral. Lineage: Bacteria; Bacillati; Actinomycetota; Actinomycetes.